GAGUGUUGUGUAGCUAGAGGUCUCCUUUGUGGGCUACAACAACUCAGAUCAAGGCUUCUGUGUUCUAUGUCAUCCUUCUGUAAGAAAGCCUGAAGAGUUUGCAUAGCUCUUUCUAAUGUGGCAAUGAUCUCCAGCAACCUCUUCUUGAAAAGUACCAUCUUUGGAAGGCUUACCCAUGUUGAAUUUAGCUUCAGCAGGAAACAGCCAUGAAAACAAAAAGAGCACCUUACUAUUUGAAUUUCCCUUUUUCUGAAGUUCUCUCUACCUUAUUUAAACAUCUACAGUAGGUAGAACUAACUAACAGAAGAACUAACACUUUCUCACUUGCCAAACAUCUCUUCAAGAAGAAUUGAACAUAGUAUUCAGUGAUUCACUGCAUCAUCAGUAAACUUUACACAGUUUGUUCUUCACCUUUUUUCCUCUGUUGUGCUAGAUGCUCAGUUUGAUAACCUUCUGCAUAAGUUGAGACUCAUUUCUUUUUCAAACUAUAAUAGUGAAUUUUGCAUUACGCUUGUUCCAACUGGAACAGAAUUUAUAUUUCUUAGGUUUGAUAUUUGUUUUGUGUUUUGCCCUGAUAGUGAAGCUGAUCUGAAGGCUUUCUGCACCUAGUUCAUGUGGUUAUUUGAUUCUUUAUGAUUAUCACAGUAUUGGGUAUCCAGUGCAACAAAAGAAAACACUUCAUAUAGAUAGUUAUGAUGAAAAUGUUAUGUUUUAAUGAAAUAUUUUAUUACAUAGUCCUAAAAUCUAUUAAAAAUAAGUAUAAAAUCCAAUGAAGCACAAAUACAUUCCUUAUAUAUGAAUGCUUUUCACUGAUUGGCAACUGCAUUUUGAUCUGUUCAUGCAAGAGUGUUUGCAGGUACCAUCUAAUUUAAGGAUUUGUUGUGCUGCCUGCAAUCUUGGAAAAUGUUAUGUAUGUACUCAUAGUAUGAGGAGUAUAUCCAUAAUGUACAUAGGUGCUUGUUACAUUUGCAUGUUAUGUGAGAAGUAGCUAUGCAGAAAACAUUAUAAAUAAUUCAGAACAAAUACAGACUUUGCAAGUACCUGUCUGGAUCAAGUGUACCACUGUAUAUAGAAAUAUCAGCUAGUGUUACCUUCUG
Molecule: long non-coding RNA, 1097 nt
Filed under: Gallus gallus (chicken)
Lineage: Eukaryota; Metazoa; Chordata; Aves; Galliformes; Phasianidae
Description: lncRNA (ENSGALG00010018269.1)
Source: RNAcentral